Molecule: unclassified non-coding RNA, 304 nt
Organism: Erinaceus europaeus (western European hedgehog)
Lineage: Eukaryota; Metazoa; Chordata; Mammalia; Eulipotyphla; Erinaceidae
Gene: 7SK
Rfam family: 7SK RNA
About the family: 7SK was discovered as an abundant small nuclear RNA in the mid-70s but a possible function has only recently been suggested. Two independent studies have found that 7SK RNA binds the CDK9/cyclin T complex (known as elongation factor P-TEFb). P-TEFb activates transcription by phosphorylating the C-terminal domain of RNA polymerase II.
Source: Ensembl
GAAUAUGAGGGUGAUCUGGCUGUGACAUUUGUCACCCCAUUGAUCACCAGGGUUGAUUCAGCUGACCUGGCCGGCUAGGCAGGUCCCUUUCCUCCUUCACUAUUCCAUGUGUGUCCCUCCCAAAGCUUUGAGCUCAAAGAUGACUGAAUAGAGACAGGCCCAGUCUUCAGAUGAGAGUCUACAGGUAGCUGUACUCCUCUGCUAGAACCUCCAAACAAGCUCUCAAAGCCCCUAAUCUCAGGAUGUUUCUUCAUAUGACGCUAUAUACUCUUGGGGUAAAUCUUCUGAAAAUCUUGAGUUUCUU